UCUUCGCUUGCUUACCACAGUGCUGCCGUUAUUCAUGUUGUGAGUGUCCUUGUGAGCGUGAGCACAGAAAUCCACACAGGCUGUGACCCCAGAGAAAGGACGCCCCUCCCUCCUGCCCAGCCGGCAGUCAUCUCCUGUCGCCUCAUUUUCCACCUAUGAGAGGUGAAAGGGCAAUACAUGUCUACAGGGAGGCUGAAUAAGGUUUCAACCAACAGAAAUGUGAAGGUGUUUUCUAAAUGGUGAGGAGAUAACUGAUGCUAUGCCUCAGGAGCCAGUCUUUUGUACAGUGGGGCGAGGUCGCUGGCGAGAUUCUGAAGGUUGCUCUCUACCUUGUGCUCCUUAAAGCAAAACAGAGAUUUAUGAGUGUUGGGAUGAGAAUAAAAACUCUUGCCGUUCUCCCUACAUCGGACCAGUUCCUCACCUCCUCUGGGUAGUCUCCAAGCAGGCGAAACUUGCGUGGCACUUUGCUGCGGGCAAACUUACAGCCAUUGAAGUACAUACUCCAGGAGCAGCCAAAGGAAAAUGAAGCUCCACAGGUGUCUGGGUCUAAACCCUGGCACGCACACGUACGACUGUGGAAAUAGCGCGGCGGUAAGGAAAUACAGAAUCAAACACAGCUGGGAUGGAAGAGUGAAGAAGACUAGGUACUCACUCUUCAUUGAGGGCACAGCGCCGGCUGGUGGGGGAGCCGUAUUUAAGGAGGGUCUCUGUUAGCUCCUUGUAGAGAUGGUCAGCCACUGGCCGAGAGAUUCCCUCCCAGGCCAGGAUGAGGAUCACCAGCACGGCCGUGUCACAGUAGUGUCCAGGCCUCUGGCGGACCAAACACAGCAGCUUCUCCUCUUCACUGCCUCGCCGAAUCACCUGCAAGAUGAUGUGAAAACAUGCAAAUUAUAACAGACAGCACUGAAACACUCGCACACACAGCAAAAACAGAAUGCUUUUGUCCAUUAUGUUUUUAAAUAUGCUAAAAUCCUUAAUAUUACUUAUCACAUAUGAUAAAUGAUGUCCCAAUCUAUUCAAAAAGACGGAUUAUGAUAAAUGAUGAUGAUUAGUCUUUUUGAAAAGAUUGGGACUUGUGGUUGUGUCUUGCUUGAAGUUUAAAACUUCCACUUUCUUUUCUUUUGUUU
Long non-coding RNA from Notolabrus celidotus (New Zealand spotty), 1127 nucleotides. RefSeq lists it as uncharacterized. The transcript has 4 exons. Lineage: Eukaryota; Metazoa; Chordata; Actinopteri; Labriformes; Labridae. The record is from RefSeq and is a predicted model, not a curated record.